This is a long non-coding RNA of Rosa chinensis, 286 nucleotides long. RefSeq lists it as uncharacterized. The record is from RefSeq and is a predicted model, not a curated record. The transcript has 3 exons. NCBI's taxonomy places the organism in Eukaryota, Viridiplantae, Streptophyta, Magnoliopsida, Rosales, Rosaceae.
UUAGUUUUUGAUUGUGCAUUUUGAAGUUUCUGGAGAAAGGAAUAGGCAUUGGUUCAGUUUGACGUAUAAUGAAGGAAGGAGUUCGAAUGGUUGUUGGUGGUGGAGGACUACACUUAUUUAGAAUUGGCCCUCUGUUUGGAGAUGAAGAAUUGGACUUGAGCGUGACUACUUGAGAUAGAAUAAAAGCUCAAUAUCGAAAAUGACUGAACGGAGGAAUUUCCAAGCUCUUGACUUGGGAUGGAUAAGUUGACGGUUAUUGCAUUUGAAUCACUGUGAGUGGACUUUU